UACAGAGGUCUCAAGCGUUGUUCGGAUUCAUUGGGCGUAAAGGGUGCGUAGGUGGCGGGGUAAGUCAGGUGUGAAAUCUCGGGGCUCAACCCCGAAGCUGCACUUGAUACUGCCUUGCUCGAGUACUGGAGAGGAGACUGGAAUUUACGGUGUAGCAGUGAAAUGCGUAGAUAUCGUAAGGAAGACCAGUGGCGAAGGCGAGUCUCUGGACAGUUACUGACGCUGAGGCACGAAGGCCAGGGGAGCAAACGGG
Molecule: ribosomal RNA, 253 nt
Filed under: uncultured bacterium
Lineage: Bacteria
Description: partial 16S ribosomal RNA
Rfam family: Bacterial small subunit ribosomal RNA
Source: RNAcentral